This 253-nucleotide ribosomal RNA is filed under the name uncultured bacterium. RNAcentral describes it as "partial 16S ribosomal RNA". It matches the Rfam family "Bacterial small subunit ribosomal RNA", at positions 524 to 776 of the family's 1533-position model. The record is from RNAcentral.
UACGUAGGGGGCAAGCGUUGUCCGGAUUCAUUGGGCGUAAAGAGCGUGUAGGCGGCCAGGUAGGUCGGUUGUGAAAACUGGAGGCUCAACCUUCAGAGGUCGACCGAAACCAUCCGGCUAGAGUCCGGGAGAGGAGAGUGGAAUUCCUGGUGUAGCGGUGAAAUGCGCAGAUAUCAGGAAGAACACCCGUGGCGAAAGCGGCUCUCUGGAACGGUACUGACGCUGAGACGCGAAAGCGUGGGGAGCGAACAGG